Long non-coding RNA from Haliotis rufescens (red abalone), 1047 nucleotides. RefSeq lists it as uncharacterized. NCBI's taxonomy places the organism in Eukaryota, Metazoa, Mollusca, Gastropoda, Lepetellida, Haliotidae. The transcript is spliced from 3 exons. The record is from RefSeq and is a predicted model, not a curated record.
UUCAGUAACUGCGGUGGAUCCAUAGUGGUUCAUCUAGUAACAACGUAAUGUCACACAAAAGAACCAGGAGCAUAGUAGAAAGGGCCAUCGGUCAACUCAAACGCAGAUUUCCUGUUCUCCAUUGGGAAAUCAGGUUAAAACCUGAGAAGGCUUGUAGUAAAAAUUACGAUCAACAAAUGUUAAUUUGUGUGCACUAUUUAUUUGCCACACAAAUAAGUUCAACAGAACAAAAAUGGAACAAAGCUAAAUGACAAUAAAUAUAUAAAAUAACAAUUCCUAGAGAGGAAAGCAAUGAUUGAAAAAAGCAACAAGAUUUUAUUGAGUUACAUAAUUAUUUCAAAGAAUGGUUGUUUGAAUUUAUGUUAACAAAUGCCAUUGAGAAUAUGAAAAGAACAAUGCAGUGGCUCAUCAUCUAUUAAAGUUUGUACAUGGACAUGAACUUGUUCAGAUUGACUUGUAUCUAAAUCAAGUGAAUAUAUAGUGAAUAUAUAUACAGUUUUGUAUUUAAGGCAAUAACAGGGCAGUUGUAGAUUGGUAAUGACUAGGAGCAGAUAAGAGAAAAUUCAUAAAUAUUUGAAGUAUAGACUUGUUAAUGUGCAUGUGGAGAUGAUCAGGAAAUGAUGGGGUUGUAUGAACUUAUUCGUUAUUUACAGUAAUAUUUGUAUGUUCAACUGAGGCCAGGUAAAAGCCUAAAUGUUAAGUGAUAUGAUGUUAAUUUAUCAUUAAUGAUUUCAUAUUUUAGGUGAUAAUAGCAUGUGCUGUCCUACACAACAUAUGCAAGGACAGACAUAUCCCAGUUCCACCCACUGAUGGGCAUGAUGGACUUGGCAGGCUUGAUGGACAGAAUGGAGCUCAAGCAGUGACUGCUCCACCAGUAGCUGCACUCAGAUACCGGGAGCACUUUGCCAACACCAACUUUCAAUAGUUUCCACGGUUGGUGAAGUGAGGGACUCUGUGACAUCUGGCUCCUUGGAAUACAUGUUGGCUCCUUCUGGUUGAGGAUGUGGAUCUGACAUGGCGGUGUCAUAGAUCUCCCUGCAACAGAAU